RNAcentral lists this ribosomal RNA (594 nucleotides) under uncultured Alphaproteobacteria bacterium. RNAcentral describes it as "bacterial SSU rRNA". It matches the Rfam family "Bacterial small subunit ribosomal RNA", at positions 135 to 763 of the family's 1533-position model. The record is from RNAcentral. Lineage: Bacteria; Pseudomonadati; Pseudomonadota; Alphaproteobacteria.
GGUUCGGAAUAACUCAGAGAAAUUUGAGCUAAUACCGGAUAAUGUCUUCGGACCAAAGAUUUAUCGCCAUUAGAUGGGCCCGCGUAAGAUUAGCUAGUUGGUGGGGUAAAGGCCUACCAAGGCGACGAUCUUUAGCUGGUCUGAGAGGAUGAUCAGCCACACUGGGACUGAGACACGGCCCAGACUCCUACGGGAGGCAGCAGUGGGGAAUAUUGGACAAUGGGCGAAAGCCUGAUCCAGCAAUGCCGCGUGAGUGAUGAAGGCCUUAGGGUUGUAAAGCUCUUUUACCAGGGAUGAUAAUGACAGUACCUGGAGAAUAAGCUCCGGCUAACUCCGUGCCAGCAGCCGCGGUAAUACGGAGGGAGCUAGCGUUGUUCGGAAUUACUGGGCGUAAAGCGCACGUAGGCGGCUUUUUAAGUCAGGGGUGAAAUCCCGGGGCUCAACCCCGGAACUGCCCUUGAAACUGGGAAGCUAGAAUCUUGGAGAGGCGAGUGGAAUUCCGAGUGUAGAGGUGAAAUUCGUAGAUAUUCGGAAGAACACCAGUGGCGAAGGCGACUCGCUGGACAAGUAUUGACGCUGAGGUGCGAAAGCGUG